CACGUAGGGGGGCAAGCGUUUGUCCGGAUUUAUUGGGCGUAAAGAGCUCGUAGGCGGUUCGGUAAGUCGGGUGUGAAACCUCCAGGCUCAACCUGGAGACGCCACCCGAUACUGCUGUGACUCGAGUCCGGUAGGGGAGCGUGGAAUUCCUGGUGUAGCGGUGAAAUGCGCAGAUAUCAGGAGGAACACCGGUGGCGAAGGCGGCUUGCUGGGCCAGUUCUGACGCUGAGGAGCGAAAGCGUGGGGAGCGAACAGG
RNAcentral lists this ribosomal RNA (256 nucleotides) under uncultured bacterium. RNAcentral's name for it is "partial 16S ribosomal RNA". It matches the Rfam family "Bacterial small subunit ribosomal RNA", at positions 524 to 776 of the family's 1533-position model. The record is from RNAcentral.